RNAcentral lists this ribosomal RNA (253 nucleotides) under uncultured bacterium. RNAcentral's name for it is "partial 16S ribosomal RNA". It matches the Rfam family "Bacterial small subunit ribosomal RNA", at positions 524 to 776 of the family's 1533-position model. The record is from RNAcentral.
UACGUAGGGGGCAAGCGUUGUCCGGAAUCAUUGGGCGUAAAGAGCGCGUAGGCGGUCCGAUAAGUCGGUUGUGAAAACUGGGGGCUCAACCCUCAGAGGCCGACCGAUACUGUCGGGCUAGAGUGCGGAAGAGGCGAGUGGAAUUCCUGGUGUAGCGGUGAAAUGCGCAGAUAUCAGGAGGAACACCAAUUGCGAAGGCAGCUCGCUGGGACGUGACUGACGCUGAGACGCGAAAGCGUGGGGAGCAAACAGG